UUGAGCGUCCAUGCCAUCUUGAACGGAUCUGAUCUUAUCUGAUUCUGGAAGCUGAGCAGGACUGUGGCUGGUGAAUAUCUGGAUGGGAGACCAUCAUGGAAUACUAGGGAUCUCUAG
RNAcentral lists this ribosomal RNA (117 nucleotides) under Pogona vitticeps (central bearded dragon). Lineage: Eukaryota; Metazoa; Chordata; Lepidosauria; Squamata; Agamidae. The record is from RNAcentral.